Molecule: ribosomal RNA, 438 nt
Filed under: Triticum aestivum (bread wheat)
Lineage: Eukaryota; Viridiplantae; Streptophyta; Magnoliopsida; Poales; Poaceae
Description: partial small subunit ribosomal RNA
Source: RNAcentral
AUGGCAGGUGAAGCGAUCACAGCGAUGUCCGCUGAGGCGAAGCGAGCGGAAUUCGAGUCUGGCACGGCGGCCGACCCGGGGAACGGCGAGCUGUGGCGCCGCUUCGUCAGGUUCGAGCUGGAGGAGGGCGGCGGAAUCGAGGCCGCUCGUGCCGUCUACGAGCGACUUCUCGCCGCAAUUCCCGAUGGAGAGACUUACAUGUGGGACUGGUUCUGGAGGGAGCGAUGGGCGCGGUGGGCGCAGGCCCAAGGAGGCGGCUUCCUCAGGUCCAAGUCAGGCUGGAGUACUUACUUGAAGUUCGAGAUCAACAACGGCGGCGGGGUGGAGCGCGUCCGGGGCGUCGGCGAGGCGCUCCUCGCGACCUUUUCCAUGGAUCCACAUGCGUACGCGAUCUACAUCAGCCAUCAGGGCUCUAGCCGCUCUGUCCCGGCACGUUGA